This 253-nucleotide ribosomal RNA is filed under the name uncultured bacterium. RNAcentral describes it as "partial 16S ribosomal RNA". It matches the Rfam family "Bacterial small subunit ribosomal RNA", at positions 524 to 776 of the family's 1533-position model. The record is from RNAcentral.
UACGGAGGGUGCGAGCGUUAAUCGGAAUUACUGGGCGUAAAGCGCGUGUAGGCGGCUCUGUAAGUCGGAUGUGAAAUCCCACGGCUCAACCAUGGAAGUGCAUUCGAAACUACAGGGCUAGAGUUCUGGAGAGGAAGGUGGAAUGCUUGGUGUAGAGGUGAAAUUCGUAGAUAUCAAGCGGAACACCGGUGGCGAAGGCGGCCUUCUGGACAGUAACUGACGCUGAGACGCGAAAGCGUGGGGAGCAAACAGG